UACGUAGGGGGCGAGCGUUGUCCGGAGUUACUGGGCGUAAAGGGCAUGCAGGCGGUCGGACGCGUUUUGUGUGACAGCGGGUGGCUCAACUACCCGAGCAUGCGAAGGACGGUCGGACUUGAGGACUCGAGAGGGACACGGAAUUCCGGGUGGAGUGGUGAAAUGCGUAGAGAUCCGGAGGAACACCGAAGGCGAAGGCAGUGUCCUGGCGAGUGACUGACGCUGAGGUGCGAAAGCCAGGGGAGCGAACGGG
Molecule: ribosomal RNA, 253 nt
Filed under: uncultured bacterium
Lineage: Bacteria
Description: partial 16S ribosomal RNA
Rfam family: Bacterial small subunit ribosomal RNA
Source: RNAcentral